UUUCAUUUUUGGAAUUGAUAGCUUCUGAGAGAAAAUAUCAUUCUGGCAUGUUGCUUUACUCAUCAUGAUUAAGCGACAUGCUUCUUGGGCAUGUUUUGUUUCUUGCUCAUUUGGUUUCCAAUUUUUUAGUUUGUAGUUUGUGUUGGUAUUACCAAAUAAUCAAAUAAUGCUGACUAAAAUUGUAUUUUAAUUUAGUACUUAAAAAUUCAUAUACAAGUAUGAAAAGCAGCAAUAAGCUUGAAAAUGGUCUGCCGACCAGAAAUAAAAUGCUUAAGAAUGAUCCUAAAUUGUGGGAUGCUUAAGAAAGCUUACUGUGUAUGAUUAGAUGAUAAACACAAUCUUAGCGUGUAAUAGUGGGAUGCAUCAGCCACUUUCUCAAGGUUCUGUUGGGUUAAUUCCAGCUUUCAAGAAAAGGACCACUUGGUACUUAGGUUUGCUUGAGGAAGGGUAGUAAAGGAGUAAGUGGAUCAAGCUCUAGCUGCAAGGAUAGUGAAAUUGGGAAUGUUGAGAAUAUUCGUGCCGAUGGGCUGCAGCUUAAAGGAAUACUGUGAUGAGAGUGGGAGGGGAAGGUAAGGAGUAUGUAGUGGAAGGUGUGUGAACGUUGGAGGAGGGGGUGAUAGCAUGAACUGAGUGUGGGUUAAUUUGAGCUUAGGGUCCCUCAUCUUCAAUGACGUGUUAACUUUUAUUUUGUUU
Molecule: long non-coding RNA, 693 nt
Organism: Vigna radiata var. radiata (mung bean)
Lineage: Eukaryota; Viridiplantae; Streptophyta; Magnoliopsida; Fabales; Fabaceae
Exons: 2
Source: RefSeq, a predicted model, not a curated record